AACGAGAAAGUGGAGCAAUCCAUGAUUACAGCUGGCGUACGGGUGAGUAACACGUGGAUCAUCUGCCCUUUAGUGGGGAAUACCGAUGGGAAACCGUCGACUAUACCGCAUAAGCUCGAGAGAGGAAAGCAGCAAUGCGCUGAAGGAGGAGUCCGCGGUCGAUUAGCUAGUUGGUGAGGUAAUGGCUCACCAAGGCUGUGAUCUAUAGCCGGCCUGAGAGGGCACACGGCCACACUGGCACUGAAACACGGGCCAGACUCCUACGGGAGGCAGCAGUGGGGAAUCUUGCACAAUGGGGGAAACCCUGAUGCAGCGACGCCGCGUGAGCGAUGAAGCCCUUCGGGGUGUAAAGCUCUUUCGGCAGGGAAGAUUAUGACGGUACCUGCAGAAGCAGCUGCGGCUAACUACGUGCCAGCAGCCGCGGUAAUACGUAGGCAGCAAGCGUUGUUCGGAGUUACUGGGCGUAAAGGGUGCGUAGGCGGUCCUGUAAGUAUGGUGUGAAAUCUCCCGGCUUAACUGGGAGGGUGCGCUAUAGACUGCGGGACUAGAGGGUGGGAGAGGAAAGUGGAAUUCCUGGUGUAGCGGUGAAAUGCGUAGAUAUCAGGAGGGACACCGGUGGUGUAAACGGCUUUCUGGACCAUUUCUGACGCUGAGGCACGAAAGCGUGGGUAGCAAACAGGAUUAGAUACCCUGGUAGUCCACGCCCUAAACGAUGCAUAUUUGGUGUGGGUCAUUCAGUUGAUCCGUGCCGGAGCUAACGCGUUAAAUAUGCCGCCUGGGGAGUACAGUCUCAAGGCUGAAACUCAAACGAAUUGACGGGGGCCCGCACAAGCGGUGGAGCAUGUGGUUUUAUUCGACGCAACGCG
RNAcentral lists this ribosomal RNA (866 nucleotides) under uncultured soil bacterium. Its description in RNAcentral is "bacterial SSU rRNA". It matches the Rfam family "Bacterial small subunit ribosomal RNA", at positions 65 to 963 of the family's 1533-position model. The record is from RNAcentral.